Apis dorsata (giant honeybee) is the source of this 1864-nucleotide long non-coding RNA. RefSeq lists it as uncharacterized. The record is from RefSeq and is a predicted model, not a curated record. NCBI's taxonomy places the organism in Eukaryota, Metazoa, Arthropoda, Insecta, Hymenoptera, Apidae. The transcript is spliced from 2 exons.
UUUUCCUGGUGAACAGAACAGGUGUAAAUAAGAGGUGAACAUUGUUAGAUGGAUCAUAGAUGAGAAAGAGAGAGAGAAAGAGAGAGCAAUGCAGAAGUCAGUGUUGUGCGGGCAUUCUGACUCAAGAACAAUGCGGUGAUUGUGCAUUUGCGAACAUACACACGUGGGAUGGAUUCGAGGCCAUUUGUGCGUUGUUCAAAUAUUUGUGCCGGUCAAUUAUUUUCGAUGCCCGAAUCGCCCAACACAAAGGGCCGUAUUAUUACAUGGCGAAUAAUAGCUGAUUCCGCACCACGUAUUCCCCAUUCCUCAUCGUUUUCCUCCUCCGGAAAAAUUUGCGAAAAACACGAACGUUUCUCGAUUAUAUAUAUAUAUAAAACUCAUCCCGUUCGAGUUCAUUUUCACACUAAUCAAUUAUUCGCCACGUAAUCAACGUAAUUAAUCGAAACAUAUAGAAUUUAUACCUGGUCGAUUAAACGGCCUCGGAAAAACGAGGAGUUGUUUUCGGCAAGGGAGAACACAACAAGGUUGGUGUCGCGUUUUUUUCGUGGAAUUGGUGCUCCUCGAGUGCUUCCAUAAUGUGGCCGAGCGAAAUAACGAAUAAAGGUAAACGGAAAGGCGUGGAAACGGAAGAGAAGUGUGGAAACGAAAAAAAAAAAAAAAAAACAAGAAAAUAGAAAAGAACGUGUCGGUGCAUAUAUGCGUGUGCUGAUCAAAAGUGAACGAGAUACGUUCUCGUUCUCUCAAAAAAUUGUUAAGUUCGAGGCUGCUGGCUGGUAAACUCGUAAACACACAAAUUCAAGAUGAAGUGGUGCUACGCUCGAAGCCGAAUUUCGCAAAAGUGGCUGGUGCCCUUUCAUGCAGAAUCCCUUUCCUUCCCGGAGAGUACCGCGAUCGCUGUUUCCGUGUCGUCGAACAUCCAAGAUGUAUUUCUUUGCCACUCGAGUUCAACUUUCCCCCCCAUUUUUCCCCCUUAUUUACCUCUUGAUCGUUCGACGAGGAUCUAUACAGGAUAUCAAGGGGAAUCAAGACUCGUACACUCGUUUUUCUCGAAGGAGAGAGAGAGAGAGAGAGAGAGAGAAAAAGAAAGUAGAAAGCGCGCAAGUGUACGUAUUCGGGAUCGCGGUAUCUCGUCGAGCUCGAAGAUCGGGAAUCAGUGCGGUUUCACAGAUGGUGCGUUUGUGAGAGAUAGACAACUAGACAAAGUGUACGAUGUGAUACGCCGUGGGUGAUAACGCUAUCAUAUUGUGCGGUGCUCAAGUGCGUUGGUGCGUCGCGUUGCUGGCUGGGCGAUUGCUACUGCGGCUGCUGCUGCUGCUGUUGUUGUUGCGUUUUCGUUUUACGAUCGUCCUGAUUACCGGGUCCAAAGCUGUUCUCUCUUUUUUUUCUCUUUUCUUUUUCGUUCAAUCCAUUCAGCGCGGCUAUCAUCGAAGCGUACAGAGACAAAAGUUUAAUCGCGAUGUUGUCGUUUUCAUUUUUUCUACCCACCCGGUAUAUAUACGGUUUUCGAACGUUUCGAGAUAAUCGAUAAUGAUAAUGCAUGGAAACGAAACGGCGUUCUUUCAAUGACGAAGAGUUGGAAGAUCGAUCCCAUGUCGCGAGCCAAAAUUUCGAUAAUUUUAUCUUCGACGAGAGCAAUAAUCGAGAGCAAAGGUAACACUAUUGAGCAGCCCUAGCUCACUCAUUUGUCACGCGUGUUCGUUUGAAUUACUCGCGAUUGCGAUGGCUGCUGCGGCUGCUGCGGCUGCAUUUAUACGUGAUCACACAAUACCAACGAUAACAAUAAUAAUGUAAUAAAACGUAGAUACGUACGGAGACUGGCUCGUGGAAACGUUCGAUUGCUUCGAAAAGAUAAUAUUUGAAAAAA